UAACACAUGCAAGUCGAACGCGAAAGGGACUUCGGUCCUGAGUAAAGUGGCGCACGGGUGAGUAACGCGUGGAUAAUCUGCCCUUAUGAUUGGAAUAACAGUUGGAAACGGCUGCUAAUACCGGAUACGCUCAAAAUGAACUUUUUGAGGAAAGAUGGCCUCUGCUUGCAUGCUAUCGCAUAAGGAUGAGUCCGCGUCCCAUUAGCUUGUUGGCGGGGUAACGGCCCACCAAGGCAACGAUGGGUAGCCGAUUUGAGAGGAUGAUCGGCCACACUGGAACUGARACACGGUCCARACUCCUACGGGAGGCAGCAGUGGGGAAUAUUGCGCAAUGGGCGAAAGCCUGACGCAGCGACGCCGCGUGAGUGAUGAARKYCCUCGGAUYGUAAAGCYCUGUURUAUGGGAAGAGCAGAAGACGGUACCAUACGAGGAAGCCCCGGCA
This 443-nucleotide ribosomal RNA is filed under the name uncultured bacterium. RNAcentral's name for it is "bacterial SSU rRNA". It matches the Rfam family "Bacterial small subunit ribosomal RNA", at positions 49 to 498 of the family's 1533-position model. The record is from RNAcentral.